This 450-nucleotide ribosomal RNA is filed under the name uncultured bacterium. RNAcentral describes it as "partial 16S ribosomal RNA". It matches the Rfam family "Bacterial small subunit ribosomal RNA", at positions 338 to 795 of the family's 1533-position model. The record is from RNAcentral.
CCUACGGGGGGCAGCAGUAAGGAAUAUUGGUCAAUGGACGAAAGUCUGAACCAGCCAUCCCGCGUGCAGGAUGAAAGCCCUAUGGGUUGUAAACUGCUUUUAGCAGAGAAGAAAAGCUUUUAUUAAUGAGAGUCUGACGGUAUCUGCAGAAUAAGCACCGGCUAACUCCGUGCCAGCAGCCGCGGUAAUACGGAGGGUGCGGGCAUUAUCGGGAAUUACGGGUGCGUAGGGGGAGGUAGAAGUCAGUGGUGAAAUCUUGUCGCUUAACGGUAAAAUUGCCAAUGAUACUGGUAGUCUUGAGUUGGGUUGAGGUUAGCGGAAUGUGACAUGUAGCGGUGAAAUGCAUAGAUAUGUCAUGGAACACCAAUUGCGAAGGCAGCUAACUGGGCCUUGAUUGACGCUGAGGCACGAAAGCGUGGGUAGCGAACAGGAUUAGAUACCCCGGUAGUC